UCAUUGAUCACAAGGCACAGACCUCCUUGGCAGCUUUCGAUGAGCUCUUCAAGGCCCACUUCAUCUUCAGUAUCAACUACCAUGAAUCCCUCUACAACUUCUAUACGUUCAUCCAAACCACUGUUUUUAACAUUGAUGUGAGCCAAGGAAAGUCCCAGAGUCAGGGAGCUAAGAGCAAGAUUUUUGCACGACGCUUGAGAGAUGCUGCUUUGACUGAUGCUGCUGACAAUGUGGAGACUCAGAAUGAAGUUGUUGCAAGCAUCUGGUGUUGCUGAGAGCACAGUCCAAGCAAUGGUUGCUUCCAUGGAGGAACUUGUUCAUGACAUUCAUAGGGAAGUAAGAGAGGCAAUUCUUGGCUGUACUUCAGAAAUUCAAGGCACAGAUUUGGAAAAGAAAAUGGAAAAAGGUUUUGAUCCUUUUUCAACCUUGAACACUAGAGUCAAAAGACAGAAGUUCUUUGGGGAAAAGUGUGAAAUUGUUGAACCUGUUGAGUUUGUUCUUGGGGUGCGGUUUGAUGUUGGCAGAGAUCAAACAACAGGACUUUCCAGUCAGGUCCCUGGAACAGAUAAAUGUGUGUUUACAUCCAUACUAGGAACUCUUAAGUCUAUGUUCAGGAAUGCUGAAUUAUGGGAAAGUUUUUUCAAAGGCAA
Long non-coding RNA from Girardinichthys multiradiatus, 650 nucleotides. RefSeq lists it as uncharacterized. NCBI's taxonomy places the organism in Eukaryota, Metazoa, Chordata, Actinopteri, Cyprinodontiformes, Goodeidae. The transcript is spliced from 3 exons. The record is from RefSeq and is a predicted model, not a curated record.